This 493-nucleotide ribosomal RNA is filed under the name uncultured bacterium. Its description in RNAcentral is "partial 16S ribosomal RNA". It matches the Rfam family "Bacterial small subunit ribosomal RNA", at positions 30 to 523 of the family's 1533-position model. The record is from RNAcentral.
AUUGAACGCUGGCGGCAUGCCUUACACAUGCAAGUCGAACGGUAACAGGUUAAGCUGACGAGUGGCGAACGGGUGAGUAAUAUAUCGGAACGUGCCCAGUCGUGGGGGAUAACUGCUCGAAAGAGCAGCUAAUACCGCAUACGACCUGAGGGUGAACGCGGGGGAUCGCAAGACCUCGCGCGAUUGGAGCGGCCGAUAUCAGAUUGGGUAGUUGGUGGGGUAAAGGCCUACCAAGCCUACGAUCUGUAGCUGGUCUGAUAGGACGACCAGCCCCACUGGGCCUGAGACACGGCCCAGAAUUCUAGGGGAGGCGGCAGUGGGGAAUUUUGGACAAUGGACGCAAAGCUGAUCCAGCGAUGCCGCGUGCGGGAAGAAGGCCUUCGGGUUGUAAACCGCUUUUGUCAGGGAAGAAAAGGUUCUGGUUAAUACCUGGGACUCAUGACGGUACCUGAAGAAUAAGCACCGGCUAACUACGUGCCAGCCGCCGCAGUAA